RNAcentral lists this ribosomal RNA (305 nucleotides) under uncultured bacterium. RNAcentral describes it as "bacterial SSU rRNA". It matches the Rfam family "Bacterial small subunit ribosomal RNA", at positions 332 to 654 of the family's 1533-position model. The record is from RNAcentral.
UAGGCCCUACGGGAGGCAGCAGUGGGGAAUAUCGCACAACGGGGGAAACCCUGAUGCAGCAACGCCGCGUGAGUGAAGAAGUAUUUCGGUAUGUAAAGCUCUAUCAGCAGGGAAGAAGAAAGACGGUACCUGACUAAGAAGCCCCGGCUAACUACGCGCCAGCAGCCGCGGUAAUACGUAGGGGGCAAGCGUUAUCCGGAUUUACUGGGUGUAAAGGGAGCGUAGACGGCUGUGCAAGUCUGAAGUGAAAGCCCGUGGCUCAACCGCGGAACUGCUUUGGACACUGUAUAGCUUGAGUACUGGAG